GAGGGUAUAGCUCAGUGGCAGAGCACGUGCUUAUUAGCACGCAUGAAGUCCUGGUUCAAUCCCCAGUACUGCCA
This 74-nucleotide transfer RNA is filed under the name Camelus bactrianus (Bactrian camel). It matches the Rfam family "tRNA". From Rfam's summary of the family: Transfer RNA (tRNA) molecules are approximately 80 nucleotides in length. Their secondary structure includes four short double-helical elements and three loops (D, anti-codon, and T loops). Further hydrogen bonds mediate the characteristic L-shaped molecular structure. tRNAs have two regions of fundamental functional importance: the anti-codon, which is responsible for specific mRNA codon recognition, and the 3' end, to which the tRNAs corresponding amino acid is attached (by aminoacyl-tRNA synthetases). tRNAs cope with the degeneracy of the genetic code in two manners: having more than one tRNA (with a specific anti-codon) for a particular amino acid; and 'wobble' base-pairing, i.e. permitting non-standard base-pairing at the 3rd anti-codon position. The record is from Rfam by way of RNAcentral. RNAcentral also lists the same sequence under 2 other names. Lineage: Eukaryota; Metazoa; Chordata; Mammalia; Artiodactyla; Camelidae.